AGUGAACGCUGGCGGUAGGCCUAACACAUGCAAGUCGAACGGCAGCACAGGAGAGCUUGCUCUCUGGGUGGCGAGUGGCGGACGGGUGAGGAAUACAUCGGAAUCUACUCUGUCGUGGGAGAUAACGUAGGGAAACUUACGCUAAUACCGCAUACGACCUACGGGUGAAAGCAGGGGAUCUUCGGACCUUGCGCGAUUGAAUGAGCCGAUGUCGGAUUAGCUAGUUGGCGGGGUAAAGGCCCACCAAGGCGACGAUCCGUAGCUGGUCUGAGAGGAUGAUCAGCCACACUGGAACGGAGACACGGUCCAGACUCCUACGGGAGGCAGCAGUGGGGAAUAUUGGACAAUGGGCGCAAGCCUGAUCCAGCCAUACCGCGUGGGUGAAGAAGGCCUUCGGGUUGUAAAGCCCUUUUGUUGGGAAAGAAAUCCAGCUGGCUAAUACCCGGUUGGGAUGACGGUACCCAAAGAAUAAGCACCGGCUAACUUCGUGCCAGCCGCCGCGGUAA
Molecule: ribosomal RNA, 506 nt
Filed under: uncultured bacterium
Lineage: Bacteria
Description: partial 16S ribosomal RNA
Rfam family: Bacterial small subunit ribosomal RNA
Source: RNAcentral